GGCAACCCGCUCGGUCCUCUUACACACUGUGGUAGCUUUGUUCUUUUGCUCUUUGCAAUAAAUCUUGCUACUGCUCACUCUUUGGGUCCACACUGCCUUUAUGAGCUGUAACACUCACCGGGAAGGUCUGCAGCUUCACUCCGGAAGCCAGCGAGACCAGGAGCCCACCGGAAGGAACAAACAACUCCAGACGCCCCGCCUUGAGAGCUGUAACACUCACCCUGAAGGUCUGCGGCUUCACUCCUGAGCCAGCGAGACCACGAACCCACCAGAAGGAAGAAACUGAACACAUCUGAACAUCAGAAGGAACAAACUCCGGACACGCCGCCUUUAAGAACGGCCUCAAGCUACUGUGGAAAAACCAUAUCGCAUUCAAAAGUGUCUUUCAACUAUAAAAAGAAUACCCCAGAGAAUCUUCUCCAAAAACAUUUCUUCCAGCUGUCUGUGGGGCCUUGUGAAAUCAAAGGUAAGAAAAACUCAGAAGUUCAGAAGGCACAAAGGCAUCAUCUCCCAAGAAUAGUCUAACACAAGUGUGAGAGUGAAUACACAGAAUACACUGCUGAAGCUGAUAGUGACUAACUCAACUGAGACUAAGUGCAUAGUUAAGAAAAACAUGGUUCUGCUGAAAGGAAAAAUCUCCAGAAG
This 645-nucleotide long non-coding RNA is filed under the name Homo sapiens (human). RNAcentral's name for it is "HSALNT0361767". Lineage: Eukaryota; Metazoa; Chordata; Mammalia; Primates; Hominidae. The record is from RNAcentral.